GAUGAACGCUGGCGGCGUGCCUAACACAUGCAAGUCGAGCGAACGGACGAGAAGCUUUCUCUUCUGAUGUUAGCGGCGGACGGGAGAGUAACACGUGGUUAACCUACCUCUAAGACUGGGAUGACUACGGCAAACCGGAGCUAAUACCGGAUGAUAUUUUGCACCUCAUGGUUCAAAAGUGAAGGACGGUCUUGCUGUCACUUAUAGAUGGAUCCGCGCUGCAUUAGCUAGUUGGUAAGGUAACGGCUUACCAAGGCAACGAUGCAUAGCCGACCUGAGAGGGUGGUCGGCCACCCGGGAAGAGAGACGGGGCCCAGACACCGACGGUAGGCAACAGUAGAGAAUCUUACGGGAGGCGCGAGAGCCGGACGGAGCAACGCCGCGGGAGGGAUGAAGGACUCCGGAUGGGAGAACUAUGUUGGUAGGAGAGAAGAAAUGUGUAAGUAACUGUGCACAUCUUGACGGUACCUGGUCAAGAAGCCCCGGCUAACUACGUG
This 497-nucleotide ribosomal RNA is filed under the name uncultured bacterium. RNAcentral's name for it is "partial 16S ribosomal RNA". It matches the Rfam family "Bacterial small subunit ribosomal RNA", at positions 28 to 507 of the family's 1533-position model. The record is from RNAcentral.